This 300-nucleotide ribosomal RNA is filed under the name uncultured Sporohalobacter sp. Its description in RNAcentral is "bacterial SSU rRNA". The stretch from base 59 to 300 matches the Rfam family "Bacterial small subunit ribosomal RNA", at positions 554 to 795 of the family's 1533-position model. The record is from RNAcentral. Lineage: Bacteria; Bacillati; Bacillota; Clostridia; Halanaerobiales; Halobacteroidaceae.
GGUACGUCGCUCGUGGCCUGGGAGGGAGGACGCAGGGGGCGGAGGGUGUCCGUAAGUGUUGGGCGUAACGGUGUUGUAUGCGGGUUGUCGCGGAUGCUGUGAAAAUCCGGCGCUCAACCCCGGGCUUGCAGUGGGUACUGGCAGACUAGAGUAUGGUAGGGGAGACUGGAAUUCCUGGUGUAGCGGUGAAAUGCGCAGAGAUCAGGAGGAACACCGAUGGCGAAGGCAGGUCUCUGGGACACUACUGACGCUGAGAAGCGAAAGCAUGGGGAGCGAACAGGAUUAGAUACCCCAGUAGUC